RNAcentral lists this ribosomal RNA (1333 nucleotides) under uncultured bacterium. RNAcentral describes it as "bacterial SSU rRNA". It matches the Rfam family "Bacterial small subunit ribosomal RNA", at positions 28 to 1382 of the family's 1533-position model. The record is from RNAcentral.
GACGAACGCUGGCGGCGCGCCUAACACAUGCAAGUCGAACGAGAGAUGAGGAGCUUGCUCUUCAAAUCGAGUGGCGAACGGGUGAGUAACGCGUGAGGAACCUGCCUCAAAGAGGGGGACAACAGUUGGAAACGACUGCUAAUACCGCAUAAGCCCACGGCUCGGCAUCGAGCAGAGGGAAAAGGAGCAAUCCGCUUUGAGAUGGCCUCGCGUCCGAUUAGCUAGUUGGUGAGGUAACGGCCCACCAAGGCGACGAUCGGUAGCCGGACUGAGAGGUUGAACGGCCACAUUGGGACUGAGACACGGCCCAGACUCCUACGGGAGGCAGCAGUGGGGAAUAUUGCACAAUGGGGGAAACCCUGAUGCAGCGACGCCGCGUGGAGGAAGAAGGUCUUCGGAUUGUAAACUCCUGUUGUUGAGGAAGAUAAUGACGGUACUCAACAAGGAAGUGACGGCUAACUACGUGCCAGCAGCCGCGGUAAAACGUAGGUCACAAGCGUUGUCCGGAAUUACUGGGUGUAAAGGGAGCGCAGGCGGGAGAACAAGUUGGAAGUGAAAUCCAUGGGCUCAACCCAUGAACUGCUUUCAAAACUGUUUUUCUUGAGUAGUGCAGAGGUAGGCGGAAUUCCCGGUGUAGCGGUGGAAUGCGUAGAUAUCGGGAGGAACACCAGUGGCGAAGGCGGCCUACUGGGCACCAACUGACGCUGAGGCUCGAAAGUGUGGGUAGCAAACAGGAUUAGAUACCCUGGUAGUCCACACCGUAAACGAUGAUUACUAGGUGUUGGAGGAUUGACCCCUUCAGUGCCGCAGUUAACACAAUAAGUAAUCCACCUGGGGAGUACGACCGCAAGGUUGAAACUCAAAGGAAUUGACGGGGGCCCGCACAAGCAGUGGAGUAUGUGGUUUAAUUCGACGCAACGCGAAGAACCUUACCAAGUCUUGACAUCCCUUGACGAUGCUGGAAACAGUAUUUCUCUUCGGAGCAAGGAGACAGGUGGUGCAUGGUUGUCGUCAGCUCGUGUCGUGAGAUGUUGGGUUAAGUCCCGCAACGAGCGCAACCCUUAUGGUCAGUUACUACGCAAGAGGACUCUGGCCAGACUGCCGUUGACAAAACGGAGGAAGGUGGGGAUGACGUCAAAUCAUCAUGCCCUUUAUGACUUGGGCUACACACGUACUACAAUGGCGUUAAACAAAGAGAAGCAAGACCGCGAGGUGGAGCAAAACUCAGAAACAACGUCCCAGUUCGGACUGCAGGCUGCAACUCGCCUGCACGAAGUCGGAAUUGCUAGUAAUCGUGGAUCAGCAUGCCACGGUGAAUACGUUCCCGGGCCUU